GCUGGGGAGCAUCCCUCUCUCGCGCUGCUGUGUAGAGGGAGGAAGACGCAGGGCAGACCGCAGCUGGCAGUCUGGGAGCGGGGUGGGGGGGGGGGGGAAUCGAAGACGCCGCGGCACCAUGUGGGUUGUCCGCGACCUCGCUGAGCUGCCCCAUCCCCCUGGCCGGAAGCCGCCGCCUCUGGGCUUCUUAUCGUUGGAGCCUGGGCAACUUUGCAUUGUUUAAGCCAAAGUCAUCCUUAACCAGUCACGAUCCCCGGAGGACCUGGGAAUUGGGUUCCCAGGGAAGAGUCCCCCCCGAGAUGGGGUUGCAGGUUAGACAGUCACGUCUGCCAGCUGAUCCUGAAGUUUUUUUUUUUUUUUUUUUUUUACCUGGUGGGUCCCCAAGCCAGCAGCUCACCCCACCCCACAUGUCACUGACGUGCACUCUCUACACCUGUCCCACUGGCCCAUUACUUGCUGUGUUCCAGACCACCCUCAAACCUAGAGGCUUAAAACGACAAGGCUCAUCUGUUUGCUUGGGAUUGUGCAGUUUGGCUCAUUUCUGCUCCGCGUGGCACCUGCUGCAAGAUGGCGGUUUCUCUCACGAGCCUGGGGCCUCAGCAGGGAUGGGCGCCGUCGCUGGAGGCCACCCUCCUUGUGGCCAGCUUCGGCUUCCUCUUGACAUGGUGACUGCGUUCCAAGCAGCAGCCUUCCAAGAAGACAAGACCCUGAUGUGUAAGAGCUUAUCGCGUCUUGCACAGGCUUGUUAAGGUCCCUGUGGUCAAAAGGACAUAUGGUCCAGCCCAGACUCGUAGUAGGAGACUGUGCAGGAGUAUUGGUAUAGAUAGGAGAGGUUCAGGGGGAUUCACCACGAUACCAGACUGCCUCAGUGAUCGUCAUGCUUUGGACGAAUGCAAAGCAGAUCCCUGCCAGGAGGAGCGGGGCCGCAAAAGGGAGAGACUUCUUCAAGAUCAGAUUGGACCAAGGUGUUGUACCGGAAGUGAGCUUGACUUGAUUUAAUAUCGACUGGGUACCUAAUGAUGUGCGCGGUGCUGGGUUCGGCUCAACCUCUUUGCCGGGUACCGAAUUUCUACAAGGCACUGCUCUCGUGCUGGAAAACCAGACUUCGUUUUUACUGAGUUGCGACUAUCUGCCCACCACAUGUGGCAGGUGAAAAAAACCAUCCAUCCCAAGUGUUGCGACGAUAGCGGACCCCAUACGAUUUUGACAGAGAAAUUAUAACGUGCCAGGUGCCUAUGAUUAUAUGUCAAGUGUUUUACACACAUGAUCUUUUUCAUCCCGACACCAGUCCUCAGAGCGAUCAUCUUUAUGAAAAAAUGAGGCUUGGAGAGGCCAACUCCAUUCGCAGAUGAGGAAACUGAGGCCCCGUUGAGUGGAUAUACGUCCAAUCUGAAAGCGAACCGUCCAUGUGGCCAGCUUUGCAAAUCCAAACCGUCAGAGGCGGCGCGGGGUGGCAGACAGAACCUUUCCCUUUCUCCCUCCGGGAUUCACGGCCUCUGCGGUAAAGGAGGAGCCAGCAGGGACUGCGGCAAAUGCAGAGGAAAAUCCAAAUGUGGGUUUGUGGUCCAGAGGCGACAAGAGACUUUGCAGCCGAGGUCUGUGUAAGGAUCACCCGAGAAAAUGCACGCCCAGGACGUGGCGUGUUGAUUACAUGCUCGUUCCUUUCUUUCCAUCAGGUUCAGGUUUCCGGGAACACAGCACCAUGCUGAUAGGUGUUCUGUAAAAAGUGUCCCCUUGUCACAUGAGUUUGGGUUAUGCUGGUUUAAAAAAACGCUAAACAGGUUUCUUUUGUGCAAGACUUCUUAGAACCUGGAAUGUGCUAGAAUUCAUUGCGUCGCUCCAAAUUACUGCAGGCGGGGUUCACUGUUCCCCCUGGUGCCCGGCACAGAAGGAGCAAGCCACCGACACCUGUGACGAUAAUAAUGAUUUUAUUAAAACUGAAGGUUCAGAAACCCGGGAAGUCAGCCCGGAAAGAGUAACCCUGUUUUGGGGCGGUGGUGGCGAUAAAUGGACCGAUGUGUGAACCGAGACGCUCGUUGUCAAGGUUCCUGGAGAACUGUGGCCGCCGAAGGGCCUGGCCGCCCGUUCCAUCUGGCCAACCUUGCAGGCAUCCGACCUGUCAUCAGGUAAUCAGGGUGAGCCUGUCCUCGGGACAAGGGGGACGAGUUUUACGACCGGUGCUGCACAAGGCGGCUGAGUGAGGGCCGUCCCGGCCUUCUGCUCACUGCUCUGUAUUGCUGUCUUCCCUGGUUUACAAGCAAAAGGAUGGUCCACCGCAGGCAAUGGCCGGGAGGCAGGCCUGGGCCUCUCCUAUUCCCAAUCUCCUUCCAGUGGGCUGGUAUUUGCUGAACACCUACUAUGUGCCAGGUGUGUGGCACCAUGGGAGAAACGGCUAUGAGUUGUCCUUCUGUGCAGAGGGCUCCCAGGCUGAGGUGUGAUAAUGGGGGGACACAGAUGAACCUAUCAGCAGGGAGGGAGAGGGUCAGGACAGGACGAGGGGAGAAGGCGCAGCACGGGCAGGCCCCCAGGAGCUGUGAUGUCCUGCUCCAGGCCGCAGGACACUUGGGUGAAUAUCGCUGGAGCCCUGGAGGAGGGGGUGAGGGUCCUGGUGGGGCAGAACAUUCCAGAUCUGAGGGAAGGGGAUUUGUGACUGCCGGCCUUGCGGAGGUCCGAAGUGAAGGGCUCCACUGCUGUGUAUUUGCCCCUGUUAAAAAGAAAACCCCAGGCCCAAAAUGGAGUCACUUACGCCAAGUCACCAAGGUGGGGGGGAAGGGGACGCUGCUGUUCCAGCCUCCCCCGGGGGCUCUUCUGGUCAGCACCAAUGAGGUCAUCAGUCAUAGGGCCUCUCCAUCCCCCGGAAGGAAGAUGUCAUCUGCGCACCUGCUCUGCUCCCUCAGGGAAGGUGACCUUGUCUGAACUUUUCUUUUUCUUUUGCUAAGUGCCCCCGCCCUGUUUCUGCCUAUAAAACCCUUCCGUUUUGUACAGCUCGCCAGAGCUCCCCUCCAUCCGGGAUGCCGGCUGAUCUAUGAAUAAAGCCAAUGAGAUCUUGAGAUUUACUCAGCU
Molecule: long non-coding RNA, 3063 nt
Organism: Leopardus geoffroyi (Geoffroy's cat)
Lineage: Eukaryota; Metazoa; Chordata; Mammalia; Carnivora; Felidae
Exons: 2
Source: RefSeq, a predicted model, not a curated record